RNAcentral lists this ribosomal RNA (253 nucleotides) under uncultured bacterium. RNAcentral's name for it is "partial 16S ribosomal RNA". It matches the Rfam family "Bacterial small subunit ribosomal RNA", at positions 524 to 776 of the family's 1533-position model. The record is from RNAcentral.
UACAGAGGGUGCGAGCGUUAAUCGGAAUUACUGGGCGUAAAGGGCGCGUAGGUGGUUUAUUAAGUUUGAUGUGAAAUCCCUGGGCUUAACCUAGGAACUGCAUCGAUGACUGAUAAGCUAGAGUACUGUAGAGGGUAGUGGAAUUUCCGGUGUAGCGGUGAAAUGCGUAGAGAUCGGAAGGAACACCAGUGGCGAAGGCGGCUACCUGGACAGAUACUGACACUGAGGCGCGAGAGCGUGGGGAGCAAACAGG